This 369-nucleotide ribosomal RNA is filed under the name uncultured bacterium. Its description in RNAcentral is "bacterial SSU rRNA". It matches the Rfam family "Bacterial small subunit ribosomal RNA", at positions 28 to 398 of the family's 1533-position model. The record is from RNAcentral.
GACGAACGCUGGCGGCGUGCUUAACACAUGCAAGUCGAGCGGUAAGGCCCUUUCGGGGGUACACGAGCGGCGAACGGGUGAGUAACACGUGGGUGACCUGCCCUCAGCUCUGGGAUAAGCCUGGGAAACUGGGUCUAAUACCGGAUAUGACCCCAUGACGCAUGUCGUGGGGUGGAAAGCCUUGUGCGGCUGAGGAUGGGCCCGCGGCCUAUCAGCUUGUUGGUGGGGUGAUGGCCUACCAAGGCGACGACGGGUAGCCGGCCUGAGAGGGCGACCGGCCACACUGGGACUGAGACACGGCCCAGACUCCUACGGGAGGCAGCAGUGGGGAAUCUUGCGCAAUGGGCGAAAGCCUGACGCAGCGACGCC